UACGUAGGGACCAAGCGUUGUUCGGAUUUACUGGGCGUAAAGGGCGCGUAGGCGGCAUGACAAGUCACUUGUGAAAUCUCCGGGCUUAACUCGGAACGGCCAAGUGAUACUGUCGCGCUAGAGUGCAGAAAGGGCAAUCGGAAUUCUUGGUGUAGCGGUGAAAUGCGUAGAUAUCAAGAGGAACACCUGAGGCGAAGGCGGGUUGCUAGGCUGACACUGACGCUGAGUGCGCGAAAGCCAGGGGAGCAAACGGG
Molecule: ribosomal RNA, 254 nt
Filed under: uncultured bacterium
Lineage: Bacteria
Description: partial 16S ribosomal RNA
Rfam family: Bacterial small subunit ribosomal RNA
Source: RNAcentral